AGUGAACGCUGGCGGUAGGCCUAACACAUGCAAGUCGAACGGCAGCACAGUAAGAGCUUGCUCUUACGGGUGGCGAGUGGCGGACGGGUGAGGAAUACAUCGGAAUCUACUUUUUCGUGGGGGAUAACGUAGGGAAACUUACGCUAAUACCGCAUACGACCUACGGGUGAAAGCAGGGGAUCUUCGGACCUUGCGCGAUUGAAUGAGCCGAUGUCGGAUUAGCUAGUUGGCGGGGUAAAGGCCCACCAAGGCGACGAUCCGUAGCUGGUCUGAGAGGAUGAUCCGGCACACUGGAAACUGGGCACGGUUCAGACUCCUACGGGAGGCCAGCGUGGGGAAUAUUGGGACAUGGGGGGAAACCCGAUCCCAGCCUAACGGGGGGGUGAAGAAGGCCUUCGGGUUGUAAAGCCCUUUUGUUGGGAAAGAAAAGCAGCAGGUUAAUACCCCGCUGUUCUGACGGUACCCAAAGAAUAAGCACCGGCUAACUUCGUG
Molecule: ribosomal RNA, 492 nt
Filed under: uncultured bacterium
Lineage: Bacteria
Description: partial 16S ribosomal RNA
Rfam family: Bacterial small subunit ribosomal RNA
Source: RNAcentral